UCAAACCUGCUCAAUGAUUUUCAUAAUUAAAUAGCCGCGGUACCCUGACCGUGCAAAGGUAGCAUAAUCACUUGCCUCUUAAUUGGUGGCUGGCAUGAAGGGUCCCAUGAGAAUAAAACUGUCUCUUUUCUAAUCUAUUGAAACUACCCACUAGGUGAAAAGGCCUAGAUAAUUAUAUAAGACAAUAAGACCCUAUCGAGCUUUAGGUUAAAAUCUACUAUAAAUAAAACCAAAAAGAAAUUACACCUUUAGUUGGGGCGACUAAGGAACAAACAAAACUUCCUAAAAUAAUAAUACCCACAAGUUAUGACCCGGAAAAUACCCGAUAAAAGAAAAAAGCUACCGUAGGGAUAACAGCGUAAUUUUCUUUGUGAGCUCUUAUUAAAAAGAAAGUUUGCGACCUCGAUGUUGGAUUAAGGUAUCCUAAAGACGCAGCAGUCUUUAAGGGUUGGUUUGUUCAACCAUUAAAACCUUACAU
RNAcentral lists this ribosomal RNA (478 nucleotides) under Cellana ornata. RNAcentral describes it as "partial 16S ribosomal RNA". It matches the Rfam family "Bacterial large subunit ribosomal RNA", at positions 1853 to 2601 of the family's 2925-position model. Lineage: Eukaryota; Metazoa; Mollusca; Gastropoda; Nacellidae. The record is from RNAcentral.